AUCUUAUAUUUGUUUGAUUUCAGGAUUGUUACAGCAGGGCCUUACAGAAAUCAGACGCUAAAAGACAGAAAGUUCUUCUUCGUAUCAUCAAACGCCUGUUGAGUACUGAAAAGGCACAUGUAGAUCUGAUGAAACAACACGGUGAAGACUUGGCCAUGACGAUACGUAACCUUGUACAGACAGGAAAUUCUCAUGCUGAUGUAGCUUUGACGUCUCUUGCGGCUGAUAUUUUAAAAUUGACAGAUUUUCAUCAGUGACCAGAAAGAAAAGGAGUAGAAAAACUAACUUUGGCUGUGAUUGUUUACAUUCCAUUUUUACCUGAUCUGAACAAACAUCAGGACUGGACAAUAACCCCACUAUCUGAUGGCCAUUGUGAUAAUGCCAGGUACAGUGUGUGACCAGUGAGAUUUUAAUUCUAACUUACCAUGUACUGGUGUAGUACUGAAGAGACAGAAAUCCUGAGUAACUACUGGUGUUUCCUGUUAAGGGUGUAUCAUACAUUUACCGUGGUUAUCAUAACGUACACCACCUGACAGGCUAUAUAGGACAGUAACUACUGGUGUUUCCUGUUAAGGGUGUAUCAUACCUUUACUGUGGUUAUCAUAACGUACACAACCUGACAGGCUAUAUAAGACAGUAACUACUCGAGUCUCCUAUUAAGGGUGUAUCAUACCUUUACCGUGGUGACCAUAACAUACACCACCUGACAGGCUAUAUAAGACAGUUCACUAUUUGUGUCUCAUACCUUGAUGGCAGUUAUCACAUAUUGUUUAGUUAUGUGUAUGAAAUCUUCAUCUAGAGGAUAUAUAAGAUUAUCCACUUUGUUGUUAAAAGGAUCACAUCAAAAUGAAAUAUUUAUUGUGAAUCAGAUUAAAAGGAUCACAUCAAAAUCAAAUAUUUAUUGAGUAUCAGAUUAAACUCGCUUAAAUAUAUUAUAAAAACCACAUGGAUUUAACUAUUAAAAUACAAGUUGUUUUCUACUGACCUGGCUAGAGACAAUUUCUCUUUAUCUCGUUUCAUGGAGUGUAUAAGUUUACCUAGCCUGGGGUUCUGUCACUCGCAGACAUUGGGGAAGUUAUGACCUCUGUUUUGAUACAUAAAUUCUGUGAUUUUUUCAGCCUCUUCAGGGGUCAACUGGAAAACAUGCUUGUUCUGAAGGCAUGGAUAUUAAAGUUAUAUCUGCUGUUUUCCUCCCAAUGCUAGUGGUCUUAAUCUUACUUCCCUUUGGUAUAUGACGUUAACAUUUUUAUACAGAUCGAGUGCAUGUAUACCUAACAAUUUACCCGUUAUUGUAUUGAUUGGGAAGUCUAGACCUUGUAUCUGUAAGAUGAUUAUCUAAGUUUUAUCAAUAUAUUAAUGAUGUUAUUCAUUGGCUAAUUAAAGUGGGAAAAGUACUAGAACCUUACACAAACAUUGCACACCGUUCACCAAUGAAAGGAAUAGUGUACUCUAUUCCAUGAUAUAUACAAAUGUCAUUAAAGAAAGUAAACAUUUGUUUUAAUGGUUAAUUAUGGUUUCAAGUUUAAGGUAUUAAAUAUAAUUGUAUUACUGCAGGUGAGGUAUGUGUCUCCCAUUUUAUUUCUGGAUUGAUUUUACCAAUCAUGGUAUAGUUUAAUUUGAAGGCAUGUCCGGAAAUUAUUAUCUAUAAGCUUUCUUUAUUCUUUUAUCUAUUUAUUAAUUUUUCCUCAUAAUUUAUUUCACAAUCAAGAAUAGUCAUUCGCUGGUAUAUUUUUUCCAAACCUUGCAAUUCAAAUCACCAACAUGGAUGACAUGAACAAGAUAUAUUUUCUACCUCUUUUAGUAAGUAAUGUAAAGCUUGUGUGUCAGAAAUGGGUAUGAGUGACCCCUUGGGGGUCAUCAACAAUUAUUGCAAUUUUUCAGAUUGAUAUACCUGUAUUGAGCUGUACUAACAGUUUUGCAAUCAAAGUGAAUCUGUUGUUAUUUAAUGGAAAGUGAAUCAUACAGGCACUAUAAGCCUUUUAUUUUGGUUUAUGUGACAAUAUUUUCCUGAGAAACUCUCAUAUUCAUUGUAUGAUCUUAGGGUAUACAGUACUUUAUGUCCAUCCAUAUUGCACUUUUUGUGUUCAGACAUAUUUCGAUCCAAGUCAAAUGAAUGCUUGUAUGUUAUUAAUGUGUGUGCAAGAAGGUUGUGAAUAAAUUUUUAUAUGAAA
Pecten maximus is the source of this 2171-nucleotide long non-coding RNA. RefSeq lists it as uncharacterized. The transcript has 3 exons. The record is from RefSeq and is a predicted model, not a curated record. Lineage: Eukaryota; Metazoa; Mollusca; Bivalvia; Pectinida; Pectinidae.